Ornithorhynchus anatinus (platypus) is the source of this 516-nucleotide long non-coding RNA. RefSeq lists it as uncharacterized. The record is from RefSeq and is a predicted model, not a curated record. Lineage: Eukaryota; Metazoa; Chordata; Mammalia; Monotremata; Ornithorhynchidae. The transcript is spliced from 5 exons.
AAACUAAGGAUGACAGUUUGAACUUAACUUCCUCCAUCUCCCAGAUGCUGUCCUGAUGCACAAGCCCUCCCAUGUCCCCUUCCAUGCCACACAGAACAGGUCCUGGAUCUUGAAGGCCUUUUGACAGGACUGAAUCUCGUCCAUCAUUUAUGGGGGGACGCAAUAUCAGAACAGGCAGAAGAAAACGGUCAUCACUGGGAUUGCCUUUUUAAGAGAAGAGGAAUGCCAUUUAUUCAAGGUUUGGAAUCAGUGGAAUGAGGUAGACUGAGUUACUUCUUUGGACAUGUCUUCAAUUAGGAUUAGAAAAACUGAAGGAAGCACAUUAUUACUUUUUUUCUGAUGAUACAUAUUUCAAAUCCCAUCUAAAAUGCAAAUUCAAAAAGAGCUCUUUGGUCUGAGUCUAGUUAUUCUCUACAUAACAGGCCUGCUCCAAGCAAGCAGCUGCAUAGGAUUUUUCCCAUGUUGCUUUGCCAAUGACCUUGACCCCAUGAGGACCAUCAUUCAAAGAGACUGCAG